This 422-nucleotide ribosomal RNA is filed under the name uncultured bacterium. RNAcentral's name for it is "SSU rRNA". It matches the Rfam family "Bacterial small subunit ribosomal RNA", at positions 369 to 808 of the family's 1533-position model. The record is from RNAcentral.
CANUGGGGGAACCCUGAUGCAGCGACGCCGCGUGAGCGAAGAAGUAUUUCNGUAUGUAAAGCUCUAUCAGCAGGGNAAGAUAAUGACGGUACCUGACUAAGAAGCCCCGGCUAACUACGUGCCAGCAGCCGCGGUAAUACGUAGGGGGCAAGCGUUAUCCGGAUUUACUGGGUGUAAAGGGAGCGUAGACGGUUAAGCAAGUCUGAAGUGAAAGCCCGGGGCUCAACCCCGGUACUGCUUUGGAAACUGUUUGACUUGAGUGCAGGAGAGGUAAGUGGAAUUCCUAGUGUAGCGGUGAAAUGCGUAGAUAUUAGGAGGAACACCAGUGGCGAAGGCGGCUUACUGGACUGUAACUGACGUUGAGGCUCGAAAGCGUGGGGAGCAAACAGGAUUAGAUACCCUGGUAGUCCAAGGGCGAAUUC